Molecule: long non-coding RNA, 422 nt
Organism: Pongo pygmaeus (Bornean orangutan)
Lineage: Eukaryota; Metazoa; Chordata; Mammalia; Primates; Hominidae
Exons: 3
Source: RefSeq, a predicted model, not a curated record
CCCGGAGCCUAGCGGUACGCUGGAAGGUGCCCGAAUGGAGAGUGCCAGCGCCCCGGCGCUGAGCAACAGCCUCAGGCUGAAAUGAAAGGGCAUUUGUACUGCUGUCUCCAUCUGUCACUGGUUGUGGCCUACGUCGGGACAGAAGUGAUCUCCAGUGAGGCAGCUCUCUGCACUGGCGAGGAUCAGAAGUUGAAGGCCGAUGGCAAUACUCCAAGCCGCUGGGACUAAAAGUCAUUUCUUGAAGGGGGAUCUGGACAGCACAACAAUGCCUACCACAGACGUUUUGCAGAGAAAGGAAAAGAUUACCCAAGGCCCAAACAAUUGGUGAUAAUGAAGAAACUCUACUACCAGAUGUUGCAAGAUGCCUCAAUGACCUAAUCCAGCAAAUCACAGCUCCAGCUUCCAUGAGCACUGUCUACCAU